UUCCCUCUGCUUCUGGUCCUUAACCACCCAAAGCUGCUAAGAUAUUUUCAAUUGAAACUUUCAUUUUUAUAUUUUAUUCCAUUUUUUCCGGUUUGUUCUUAAAAGUUCUUAUUGCGUGGUGGCAGCAAGAAGAGAGCAAGAAGGGUACAACUUCAAAUUUAGACCAAGAAGUGCCAAAAGCACCAGAUCUAUAGUAACGUUUGUGAUGCUUCUCAGCAGCUUGACUUUGUGCGAAUACACAAUGAUUGGUACAAAUGCUAAAGGAGAUUGGCUUGUUAUGAAAACGAAUGAUUUUCGACUUGGACGCCAACCGAUUCAAAAGACCAUUCUUCUCAAGCUUGGUAAUUUUCCAAACAUUGCAGAAAUGUUAAGUGCACUUUGACUCUCUGUCAUUGUCCAUUGUAUGUGGACAUCCUUUUUUUGUCUGAGCUAGAUAUUUGUUAUUGUUCACUAUUUCAGAUUGAAUUCCUAAGCUUCAAAUAUAUGUGAUGUAGCUUGGAUGCUUGAUUUAUGUGAUUGUAAAGUAAAAUAUUUCGCUCUUUAUUUCCCUAAGCACUGGACUUCUUUUGUUUUUGCAACUUUAAUGUUUGGGAGGUAUGAUUUAC
Non-coding RNA from Nicotiana tabacum (common tobacco), 605 nucleotides. The record is from RefSeq and is a predicted model, not a curated record. Lineage: Eukaryota; Viridiplantae; Streptophyta; Magnoliopsida; Solanales; Solanaceae.